Molecule: small RNA, 808 nt
Filed under: Pongo abelii (Sumatran orangutan)
Lineage: Eukaryota; Metazoa; Chordata; Mammalia; Primates; Hominidae
Description: processed transcript
Source: RNAcentral
GGCUCCGGGCGCCCUGGCUUCCGCGCCCACUGGUUGCUCGCUCCGGGGCAGGGCUCGCGAUAGCGAGCGGGAGCAGGGCGCGGGGCGGCACCGGGUCCGAAGCGAGGAAGCCGGAAGCCAGGCGCGGAGAGCCUCCCCCUUCGACUGCGGCCUCGCUUGGCGCCUUCUGCGCGCUUGGGAUCCCGGAGCCUACCUAGGUUCUGCGUGCUCCCGCCCAGGCCGGUGCCCGCUGCCCGCCUGCGCCCCAGGCGGGUCUCAGGCCCCGGCUGCUCCCGGCCGAAGGUGGGGACGGGCAGUGGCAGGCACCGCUAGCGAGGGCGUUUGGGGACCCAGGGUGACCACAGCGCAGCCAUGGGGACCGCGCUUGUGUACCAUGAGGACAUGACGGCCACCCGGCUGCUCUGGGACGAGUAAGUGGGACCUGGCCGAGGUGGGGUGCGGGGAGGGACCUCUGGACUGAACUCCUCAUCUGCCCCAGCCCCGAGUGCGAGAUUGAGCGUCCUGAGCGCCUGACCGCAGCCCUGGACCGCCUGCGGCAGCGCGGCCUGGAACAGAGGUGUCUGCUGUUGUCAGCCCGCGAGGCCUCGGAAGAGGAGCUGGGCCUGGUGCACAGAGUACCUUUCACUGUGCGCGGCUGGCCGCAGGGGCUGGACUGCAGCUGGUGGACGCUGUGCUCACGGGAGCUGUGCAAAAUGGGCUUGCCCUGGUGAGGCCCCCAGGGCACCACAGCCAGAGGGCGGCUGCCAACGGGUUCUGUGUGUUCAACAACGUGGCCAUAGCAGCUGCACAUGCCAAGCAGAAACACGGG